This 834-nucleotide long non-coding RNA is filed under the name Pan troglodytes (chimpanzee). RNAcentral describes it as "long non-coding RNA NONPTRT011120". The record is from RNAcentral. Lineage: Eukaryota; Metazoa; Chordata; Mammalia; Primates; Hominidae.
GGGCGAUGGUCGCGGCCCCCACGGAAGGCAGUCUUUCUACCUUUUUUGCUUCCAGACUCACUGACAUAAAAUGAGAAAUACAACGUUUGACAACUCGAAGCCAGCCUGGGGUCACAUUCCGGCAAACAGUGGGAACCAGCAAAGCCAAGGACAGAGAGGUCUUCAGGGAAUACAUGGCUAUGGUGGUUUGAAGACUCCCAUUAGAGAGUGGAUAUUAAUUGCCCUCCUUUUGAAUAUGGUCUGGACUUAGUGAUUUGAUUGUAACAAAUAGAAUACAGCAGAUGUGAUGCUAUGUGACUUCCAAACCUAGGUCAUAAAAGGAGAUAAAGUUUUCACCUGGCUCUCCCUUGCGACACUCACCCUUGGAACCCAGCUGCCAUAUUGUGAGGAAGCUCAAGCCACAGGGAAGUUUUCACCUGGCUCUCCCUUGGGACACUCACCCUUGGAACCCAGCUGCCAUAUUGUGAGGAAGCUCAAGCCACAGGGAAGGCCAUGUGUAGGUGUUUGGGUUGAUGGUGCCAGCUGAGGACCCGGUCUACUGCCAGUACAACUUAUACCAAGCAUGUGAGUUGGCGAGCUUUUGAAAGAACUCCAGCCACAGUCACUGACCACGCUGCCUGAGAGACCUAGAGAGAAAACCUAGCUGAGCCAAAUCAGGCCCCGGAAACGUAAGUGAUAAUAAUAAAAGAUUGUCAUCUGGGUGGUGGUUACAUAGCAAUAGACACCUAGAACAGUGACAGAGCUGGAAUUUGAACCCAGACAGUCUGACUCUAUAGUCUUCACUAUCAAGCACACUACCUCAGACCUUGAUAACCUAGCAUAAUGAAAACCCUG